GCCGCGGCCGCGCAGCCCCCGCGCGCUGGGCUGCUGUCUGCGGGUGGCGGCGGCGGCGGCGCGGGGAGCCGGC
RNAcentral lists this microRNA precursor (73 nucleotides) under Chinchilla lanigera (long-tailed chinchilla). Its description in RNAcentral is "miRNA (ENSCLAG00000021160.1)". The record is from RNAcentral. Lineage: Eukaryota; Metazoa; Chordata; Mammalia; Rodentia; Chinchillidae.